Molecule: non-coding RNA, 607 nt
Organism: Capra hircus (goat)
Lineage: Eukaryota; Metazoa; Chordata; Mammalia; Artiodactyla; Bovidae
Source: the annotation of a RefSeq genome assembly
GCUAGGCACAUUUGUGCAGGGGAAUCCAUGCCUCAUGCUGCUCUCCAGUCUUCCGUGGGUGUUCCUGGCCUUCAUCUUCUCCGGAUCCAGUGUAGCCCAGAGAGUUACUCAAGACCAGCCAGACAUUUCCAGUCAAGUUGGGGAGGUAGUCACACUGAGCUGUCGAUAUGAGACAAUUCAGAGCCGUUACAACAUUUUUUGGUACAAACAACUUCCCAGUGGAGAGAUGAUUUACCUUAUUGGUCAGGGUUCUUCCAGCCAGAAUGCAAGGUAUGGCCGCUACUCUUUGAAUUUACAGAGAUCACGUAAAUCCAUCAGCCUCACGAUUUCAGACUUAGAGCUGGAAGACUCUGCAAAGUACUUCUGCGCUCUCUGGGAACUCACAGUGCUUGAAGUAAUAGGAAAAGCUGAACAAAAACCCCAGAGCUUAAUAAGAGAGAGCCCUGCUGCUGCAGGACCCAGGCUGAAAUACACACCUGCAGACCCCAGACAAGAAAUGGUAGUCCUGCGGUUGCUUCAUCUGUGGUCUGGAUCAGAAGAUUUAAUUCUAAAUAAAAGCUCCUUCUAUGUCAUAUGGAAGCAGGUGCCUAAAGUAACUUUCUACUGA